Molecule: ribosomal RNA, 468 nt
Filed under: uncultured bacterium
Lineage: Bacteria
Description: partial 16S ribosomal RNA
Rfam family: Bacterial small subunit ribosomal RNA
Source: RNAcentral
GACGAACGCUGGCGGCGUGCUUAACACAUGCAAGUCGAACGGAAAGGCCCUGCUUUUGUGGGGUGCUCGAGUGGCGAACGGGUGAGUAACACGAGAGUAACCUGCCCUUGACUUUGGGAUAACUUCAGGAAACUGGGGCUAAUACCGGAUAGGAGCUCCUGCUGCAUGGUGGGGGUUGGAAAGUUUCGGCGGUUGGGGAUGGACUCGCGGCUCAUCAGCUUGUUGGUGGGGUAGUGGCUUACCACGGCUUUGACGGGUAGCCGGCCUGAGAGGGUGACAGGCCACAUUAGGACUGAGAUACGGCACGGACUCCAACGGGAGGCAGAAGUGGGAAAUAUUGCACAAUGGGCGGAAGCCUAAUGCAGCAACGCCGCGUGCGGGAUAAAGGCCUUCGGGUUGUAAACCGCUUUCGCCUGUGACGAAGCGUGAGUGACGGUAAUGGGUAAAGAAGCACCGGCUGACUACGUG